Molecule: ribosomal RNA, 248 nt
Filed under: uncultured prokaryote
Description: partial 16S ribosomal RNA
Rfam family: Bacterial small subunit ribosomal RNA
Source: RNAcentral
UCGGGGAGAAAGUUUAUUGAUAGUACUCGAUGAAUAAGGGGUUGCUAAACUCGUGCCAGCAGCAGCGGUAAUACGAGUGCCCCAAGCGUUAUCCGGAAUUACUGGGCGUAAAGGGUGUGUAGGUGGUUGUGUUAGUCUCACGUUAAAUUCUUCGGCUUAACCGGGGGCAUGCGAGGGAAACGGCACGACUAGAGGAUAUAAGGGGUCUGUGGAACUCAUGGAGUAGGGGUGAAAUCCGUUGAUAUCAU